AGCUCCUACGGGGGGCAGCAGUGGGGAAUAUUGCACAAUGGGGGAAACCCUGAUGCAGCGACGCCGCGUGAGUGAAGAAGUAUUUCGGUACGUAAAGCUCUAUCAGCAGGAAAGAAAAUGACGGUACCUGACUAAGAAGCCCCGGCUAACUACGUGCCAGCAGCCGCGGUAAUACGUAGGGGGCAAGCGUUAUCCGGAUUUACUGGGUGUAAAGGGAGCGUAGACGGCAGCGCAAGUCUGGUGUGAAAUGCCGGGGCCCAACCCCGGCACUGCUCUGGAAACUGU
This 285-nucleotide ribosomal RNA is filed under the name uncultured bacterium. RNAcentral describes it as "partial 16S ribosomal RNA". It matches the Rfam family "Bacterial small subunit ribosomal RNA", at positions 334 to 636 of the family's 1533-position model. The record is from RNAcentral.